UGAAAGGCGGCCUUUGGCUGUCACUUGCGGAUGGGCCCCCGGCGCAUUAGCUAGUUGGUGAGGUAACGGCUCACCAAGGCGACGAUGCGUAGCCGGCCUGAGAGGGUGACCGGCCACACUGGGACUGAGACCCGGCCCAAACUCCUACGGGAGGCAGCAGUAGGGAAUCUUCCGCAAUGGGCGAAAGCCUGACGGAGCGACGCCGCGUGAGCGAAGAAGGCCUUCGGGUCGUAAAGCUCUGUUGUGAGGGACGAAGGAGCGCCGUUCGAAGAGGGCGGCGCGGUGACGGUACCUCACGAGGAAGCCCCGGCUAACUACGUGCCAGCAGCCGCGGUAAUACGUAGGGGGCGAGCGUUGUCCGGAAUUAUUGGGCGUAAAGCGCGCGCAGGCGGUUCCUUAAGUCUGAUGUGAAAGCCCACGGCUCAACCGUGGAGGGUCAUUGGAAACUGGGGGACUUGAGUGCAGGAGAGGAGAGCGGAAUUCCACGUGUAGCGGUGAAAUGCGUAGAGAUGUGGAGGAACACCAGUGGCGAAGGCGGCUCUCUGGCCUGCAACUGACGCUGAGGCGCGAAAGCGUGGGGAGCAAACAGGAUUA
Molecule: ribosomal RNA, 594 nt
Filed under: Geobacillus thermoleovorans
Lineage: Bacteria; Bacillati; Bacillota; Bacilli; Caryophanales; Anoxybacillaceae
Description: bacterial SSU rRNA
Rfam family: Bacterial small subunit ribosomal RNA
Source: RNAcentral